RNAcentral lists this ribosomal RNA (305 nucleotides) under uncultured bacterium. RNAcentral describes it as "bacterial SSU rRNA". It matches the Rfam family "Bacterial small subunit ribosomal RNA", at positions 335 to 638 of the family's 1533-position model. The record is from RNAcentral.
UGGCCUACGGGACGCAGCAGUGAGGAAUAUUGGUCGAUGGUCGGGAGACUGAACCAGCCAAGCCGCGUGAGGGAUGAAGGUACAGAGUAUCGUAAACCUCUUUUGUCAGGGAACAAAGGCGGGGACGUGUCCCCGGAUGAGUGUACCUGAAGAAAAAGCAUCGGCUAACUCCGUGCCAGCAGCCGCGGUAAUACGGAGGAUGCGAGCGUUAUCCGGAUUUAUUGGGUUUAAAGGGUGCGCAGGCGGUCUGUUAAGUCAGCGGUCAAAGCCCGUGGCUCAACCCCGGCCCGCCGUGUGAACUGGCG